CUAUUUCAAAAAGAUCUCAAGCUACUUUGCUUCUCUCUUUGGUUGCCUCAUUAUGUUUCAUUGAAGUUUCCCUCGCAUAUCGACGUUUUGACGCUUCACUUGUAGGAAAACCGCCGAUUGGUCCAAAUACUUGCCCAGUUCCUACGGAUCAGUGUUCGAGUGCAUGUAAUUAUCGAUGCUCAAAUACAUCUCACAAGAACAAUUGUUUAUUAUUCUGUAACAAGUGUUGUAAUCGGUGUCAAUGCGUUCCACCUGGUACUUUUGGACAAAAAGAUUGUUGUUCAUGUUACAAAGAUUGGAAGACACAAGAAGGAGGACCUAAAUGCCCUUGAAAUUUUCAGACUCCAUUUUGUACAAUAAG
Non-coding RNA from Nicotiana tabacum (common tobacco), 361 nucleotides. Lineage: Eukaryota; Viridiplantae; Streptophyta; Magnoliopsida; Solanales; Solanaceae. The record is from RefSeq and is a predicted model, not a curated record.